CCUUUUGUAUAAUGGGUCAGCGACUUAUAUUCUGUAGCAAGGUUAACCGAAUAGGGGAGCCGAAGGGAAACCGAGUCUUAACUGGGCGUUAAGUUGCAGGGUAUAGACCCGAAACCCGGUGAUCUAGCCAUGGGCAGGUUGAAGGUUGGGUAACACUAACUGGAGGACCGAACCGACUAAUGUUGAAAAAUUAGCGGAUGACUUGUGGCUGGGGGUGAAAGGCCAAUCAAACCGGGAGAUAGCUGGUUCUCCCCGAAAGCUAUUUAGGUAGCGCCUCGUGAACUCAUCUCCGGGGGUAGAGCACUGUUUCGGCAAGGGGGUCAUCCCGACUUACCAACCCGAUGCAAACUGCGAAUACCGGAGAAUGUUAUCACGGGAGACACACGGCGGGUGCUAACGUCCGUCGUGAAGAGGGAAACAACCCAGACCGCCAGCUAAGGUCCCAAAGUCAUGGUUAAGUGGGAAACGAUGUGGGAAGGCCCAGACAGCCAGGAUGUUGGCUUAGAAGCAGCCAUCAUUUAAAGAAAGCGUAAUAGCUCACUGGUCGAGUCGGCCUGCGCGGAAGAUGUAACGGGGCUAAACCAUGCACCGAAGCUGCGGCAGCGACGCUUAUGCGUUGUUGGGUAGGGGAGCGUUCUGUAAGCCUGUGAAGGUGUGCUGUGAGGCAUGCUGGAGGUAUCAGAAGUGCGAAUGCUGACAUAAGUAACGAUAAAGCGGGUGAAAAGCCCGCUCGCCGGAAGACCAAGGGUUCCUGUCCAACGUUAAUCGGGGCAGGGUGAGUCGACCCCUAAGGCGAGGCCGAAAGGCGUAGUCGAUGGGAAACAGGUUAAUAUUCCUGUACUUGGUGUUACUGCGAAGGGGGGACGGAGAAGGCUAUGUUGGCCGGGCGACGGUUGUCCCGGUUUAAGCGUGUAGGCUGGUUUUCCAGGCAAAUCCGGAAAAUCAAGGCUGAGGCGUGAUGACGAGGCACUACGGUGCUGAAGCAACAAAUGCCCUGCUUCCAGGAAAAGCCUCUAAGCAUCAGGUAACAUCAAAUCGUACCCCAAACCGACACAGGUGGUCAGGUAGAGAAUACCAAGGCGCUUGAGAGAACUCGGGUGAAGGAACUAGGCAAAAUGGUGCCGUAACUUCGGGAGAAGGCACGC
RNAcentral lists this ribosomal RNA (1145 nucleotides) under Escherichia coli. RNAcentral describes it as "partial 23S ribosomal RNA". It matches the Rfam family "Bacterial large subunit ribosomal RNA", at positions 604 to 1751 of the family's 2925-position model. Lineage: Bacteria; Pseudomonadati; Pseudomonadota; Gammaproteobacteria; Enterobacterales; Enterobacteriaceae. The record is from RNAcentral.